RNAcentral lists this ribosomal RNA (296 nucleotides) under uncultured bacterium. RNAcentral describes it as "partial 16S ribosomal RNA". It matches the Rfam family "Bacterial small subunit ribosomal RNA", at positions 775 to 1067 of the family's 1533-position model. The record is from RNAcentral.
GGAUUAGAUACCCUGGUAGUCCUAGCCGUAAACGAUGGGCACUAGGUGUGGGGGGAGUCGAAUCCCUCCGUGCCGCAGCUAACGCGUUAAGUGCCCCGCCUGGGGAGUACGGCCGCAAGGCUAAAACUCAAAAGAAUUGACGGGGGCCCGCACAAGCAGCGGAGCAUGUUCUUUAAUUCGAUGCAACGCGAAGAACCUUACCUGGGCUUGACAUGCUGGUGGUAGGCGCCGGAAACGGUGGCCGACCCUUCGGGGAGUCAGCACAGGUGCUGCAUGGCUGUCGUCAGCUCGUGCCG